This 262-nucleotide long non-coding RNA is filed under the name Struthio camelus australis. RNAcentral describes it as "lncRNA (ENSSCUG00000012519.1)". Lineage: Eukaryota; Metazoa; Chordata; Aves; Struthioniformes; Struthionidae. The record is from RNAcentral.
CACCACUCCAAUCUGCUCCAAGGAAAAAUAGACCUACUUUGAGCUGCUAAAUAAUAAAUAAGAAAUUAAUCAUCCAGCUUUUUUGAUGGAACAUUGCACAGCCUAUGAGAGUUAUCCUUCUUUCUCCAUUUUAAGAUAAAGGAAAAUACUAAGUUGGCAGAAUAUUAAGAGUGUGAACAGGACAUAGAUCAGACUCACAAUUCACGAAGCUUAGAAGAGCAAAUGCACUCAUUUUACAUAGAAAUUCAUUAAGACUCACCGG